Non-coding RNA from Lactuca sativa (garden lettuce), 1311 nucleotides. NCBI's taxonomy places the organism in Eukaryota, Viridiplantae, Streptophyta, Magnoliopsida, Asterales, Asteraceae. The record is from RefSeq and is a predicted model, not a curated record.
CAGUUCAUGUUUAUAUAUUAAAUAAUUUAUAAGUAUUCAAUGGAAGAAAACCCAAUGUUGUGGAAACUUAAAUGGAAUAAGAAAAACCAAGAAAUAAAAAUAGAUAUUAGAAUUUAUGAGGAUACCUAAAAAUCCGAAAUUGAAGGAAAACUGAUCCACCAAAAUUUAAACUUCUAAACUUUUAUCUAUUUAAUGACAAAAAAAAAGUAAAUCAAACUAAAAUGUCUCAAACAUAAAACUGAAACCUUCUGCCCUAAAAAAUUAGUCGGCGGCACCUCUCUUCUCCGGUUUGAGCAUCUUCCUGAGUAGUUGUCAGCCACCGAUUCACCUAUUCAGCCUUGCUUACUUAAAAGUCAACCUAGGAUGGGCUUCAUGGUAAAUUAAGAAGAUUUGAGGGACCACAGAAGGUUGACGCCUCAACAGAUGGGAAUGGAAUGGUAAUGUGAAGGUGGAGGUGAAAGUGGUUGGCCAUGCAAUGUUUGAUACUUCUAAAGUAGAGAAUAUCAUGGUUUUCAUUUUAGAAUCAUCAAAUUCUACCAAAGGGAAGAGACAGCUUCUUAAGCAAUAUGAAUUUCAUUCCCCUAAUCAACAAUAUUUAGCCCGUUAAUGGUACUUAAUCAUCUAUCAGGUCAACUUUUUCAGAACUUUUAUGCAUUAAAUGACCGCUUUCUAUGCCGAUUUUCCUGCAAACAAUCUUUCUUUUCUUUCCAGACAUGAUUAAAGGCAUGUUUUUGGCUGUAGUUAUUGGACCACCUGUUGUGGUUGCCAUCAUUUUAAUAGUACAGGGAACCAAAAGUGAGGACUUUUUUUCCCCCUGACACUUGAAAUAACAAGGUAAGGAGAGAAUUCUAAACAUUCUGGAAACUUUAAAAGAAGAGGGAAAUAGGGUCUUGUUCAAUGCUUUAGCUGUGUUUGCUCUAAGGGAGAUCAACUUAUCAAAAGUAAGUUACUGUUUCACCCUUUUAUUUAAUAUUUUUGUGAUUGAAUGAAAGUCUUAAUGAAAGUGAUUGACAACCCUUUCUCUGUAAACGAUGUUGUGAUUGUGGGAGAGGUGUUGUGUUUUUCUCUGUUGCUAGGUAACCUUCUCAACAACAACAUUCUACUUAAGCAGGUGAGUAAUCAAGAUUAAGGGAGACUUGUAAUCAUGUUUGACAUUCUUUUCCAGUAAGAAAUAGAGUUGUAUGAUUAUUUGUUAGUUUUAUAGGAAUGUAUAACCCAUGUUAGCAAUGUAUUAUUUUUGUUUAACAUUUGAAUGAUUCUUUGUAUGACAUUACAAUUUGUGUAAUUUAUUUUAUUUUUUGAGUAUGAAAU